AUGUUCUAUAUUCAGACUUUCAAUUUCAAAACCUUUUCUUCAGUUUCAAAUACUUUUUCACUUUCAACUCCUUUUAUCCCCGUUUUCAAAUCUGAAAAUUUCAGUUUCAAAACUUUUGGCCCCGUUGUGGUACGUUGGGACGGGGCUAGCACCAAGGACCAAUCAGAAUCGAUGAGGGGGGCAACUUCAGUCCCGGUGCAUUUACUGACUUUGAGAACUGGAAUACUUGCGUUCAGAAAAUGGCUGUAUUGUCUGUACUAUCAUAGUCUGAAGUUGUCCCAAGGCAAGAGUAACAAGCAGAGUUUUAUUUUCCUGUUUCUAGCUCAUCUUUCACAUCAUGCAGCAAAUGCCAUCUUCUAAGACGCGACACGCUGAAGCAGGAGCAAACAGAAGGUGGCGCUGGCUGUGCACACAGCAAACCAGGGACAGUUUGGACUAACUGUAUAACAGGAGAAAGGUUUGCUACUCUGAGGGGCUUGCUUGUAUUUGUGGAUUAACACAGAGUGUCAUUUCACUGGAGAACUUUCUGUGCAUCUGCAGCUCUUCCUCGCCCAGCUCCAGCUCUGCUCCAAGUUCGCUCUGCAGGUCCAUCUCACUGUUCUUCCACAUUUCCGUCUCUGCAUCGUCCUCCUGGUGUUGAUACCAGCCAGACCUGCUCCUUUUUACAAAAACAUUCAGGCGCAAAUUAAAAAAGCUGACAUAGAGGCCGAGCUGCAACCAGCACGACUGUCUUAUCUUACUUAAUGUUUGUCUUCUACAUGCAGUUUCUCCUUCCUUAAAGGAAGAAACUAAGACUUCGAAACUUUUGGGCUUCAAAAUGUGAAGACUUACCAUUUGUAGAUGCGCACAGCUCCUGCUGCCAUCAGGAGGAAAACCCCCACUAGAGUGAUGAUGACUGCAGGAACAGUUUGGAGGGACAACAUCAAAAGAGAGCUGGAGCAGUGCACUGCUAGUAAUCAGAUUACAUCUUCUAACAAGAGACCAAUCAGGGAUAUUUUGUUAUUU
RNAcentral lists this long non-coding RNA (1005 nucleotides) under Oryzias javanicus (javanese ricefish). Its description in RNAcentral is "lncRNA (ENSOJAG00000017719.1)". Lineage: Eukaryota; Metazoa; Chordata; Actinopteri; Beloniformes; Adrianichthyidae. The record is from RNAcentral.